CGAAAUUAAGUGCCCGUUCGAUCGUCAUCUGAGGGUUGUGAUUCUACCUCAGUUAUCCUCUCACGGGCGCUGGUUUUUCAACACGGAGUGUCCUGCGUUCAUAUUGCUCACGCACGGCGCCCCGCUCAUGACCGGCAACUCACUCUAGAGGUUUCCAUCCAUCCAGAAACUUCUGCUUUUUCAUCGGGUUGCUUCCCUUAUCUUCCCUCUCGUCUUCUUGCCGCCGGCCAUAUGUGCGCCAACUUGCUCCAGGAGCCUCCCCAUAUCGUCCCGCACCUCGAGCUGCCAUUUCCCGGGCCGGCCGAGCCAUUCCCCGCCGUAAUCAGCGAUUCCGGCCGGGCGGAGUAGCUUCCCCCGCGGAAGCCCAGCCGCCGUCGACCCUCUCCCUCAAGUCCUCCGCCCGAAUUGAGCUCCUGGUCGCGCGCUGUGCCGCCGUGUCUUCGCGCAUCGGCCGUUCCGCCUGUCGCGCCCCCCCCGGUGCGCCGCACCUUGGGGAGCCUCGCCCAGCCGCUUUCGCUACCGAGCGCUCAUCGUCGAUGAGCGUCUGAACGGCCAGCGCACGAGGUCAGCCCGUCUCGGGGCACACCUGGCUGCCCUGCGGGACUCUACAAGUGCGGCUCGAUCCCAGGAGGCCGCGUCGCCUCUCCAUGGCCACCAUUGUCGCCGGAAUCGCCCUUUCCCCGUGCUCCUCUGCUUCAAAUCGCAACCAAGGACCUCGGACUCCCUCGCUCAAAGGAUCUGCAUCUCUCCCUCAAGUCUGGAUCUCUGGUUCCUUCUCUCCCCCGUUACUCCUGUUUCCUACAUCUCUGCAGGCGACGCCCCGCGGCUGACCCCAGACCCGCUGCCCCGAGGCCGACGACGCCAGCCAACGCCGACCCCAGGAGCCACCGUUCCGCGGCCGGCCACCAGCAGCGCGUGUCCAAUAGGGGCAGGGUUGGGACAGGCGAGCGAUGGCCCACAGGCGCGUGCGGCAUGGGCUCCUGCGGCUGGCCAGCGGAGGCCGGAGGCUUGUGCGGCCCCCCACGGGGCUCAUCAAGGUGGACCGGGUCCUCUACUCCUCCGUCGUGUACCCGCACAACUAUGGCUUCAUCCCCCAUCGACGUCCUCGUCCUCAUGCAGGUGAGGCCGGUCGAUAUCAGGAUUAAUUUCAGAAGGCUUAGCAUAGCCAUGCCCAAACCUCCAUCGUGCUCUGCGUUGUUCGUUUUUUUUUAAAAAAAAUCUAACAACUGCAUGCCAUUGGCAACCAGGAACCAGUUCGGCCACCUCCCGUCCACGGUCACCUUCAGUUUCGGCCUGUUGCCAAAUCAUAUUAAUAUAUGAUCAUUUAGAUAAUUGUUUAUACAUUUCUAUUCAGCUAUAUUAAUUGUAGACCUCACCAGUGAUUGCAACGGUACCUAAAAGCAAAUAGAAUCACAUAAGAGUAUAUUAUAGAUCUUCUUUGAUUUUUUUGAUUUUGGCCUAGAAUAUCUUUCUUCAUACUUAGUCAAGUUAUCUUAAAAUACCAUUUCAUAUUAGCAGUUGUACGUUGCAUAUUCAUUUUCAGGUUUAUUGAAAUGCCUGCAAAGUUGAAGAGAUUCCAGAAAUUUUGCAGGCUGUGGCCGUUUAAAGCAGAUUAGUUUGCAUUGAAAUGGCUGCAUGGUUCAAAUUUGAACCUUAACUAAUAUUAUCAUGGCAGCAUCUUGUGAACUGCUUCAACGUCCAUCGACUCAUGAACUGGCGCAAAAGCAGUCAGCUGUUUUAUUUUGCUGAAAUGUCAUGUUAUCCCGGUGAGCAAAUUUGAAACUUAUUACCAUGUAGUUCUUGAGAUGUAUCAAAUCUUUGACAUUGGCAGGUCUUAAAACUGGUUGCACGCACCGAGGUCAUCAGGCUUUGUAUUUUCAAAUUUCGGCUGACUCACGAGUCCUGUUCAAAGUUUAUUUGGAACAAUGUUAAAUGUCAUUCUGUGAAGGAUAUGCUCUUACGUCUGUAUAGCCUGGAAGCAUAAUACAGAAAUACUACCAGAAGGACAACUCACACCAGCUUCAAUUCUUCAGCGCAGAGAAAUGACUACAUUGGUGGUCAAUCCUACAAGACCCUCCUACAUGAUAGAAUGAGGAUGUGGCCAUCAUUUUGUCAAGCAUCUACCGCUACUACCAGCCAUACUCUAAAGUAGAUGAACAACCUACCAAUAUGAAGCAUCCACCUACUUAGUAUUCAGUUAUUCAAAACUUAUCUAUGGACAACUAAUGUGUAGUAUUGAGUAUUGUAAUUUGCUAUCUACUCCCUCCGUUCCAAAAUGUAGGUCGUUUUGGCUUUUUUAGAUUCAUAGUAUUUGCUAUGCACCUAGAUAUAACAUAUGUCUAUGUACAUAGCAAAAUAUAUGAAUAUAGAAAAGUCAAAAAGACCUAUAUUUUGGAACAGAGGGAGUAGAACUUAUGUCUUUGUAUGCUGGUCUAAAAAAUGAAAAAAACUAUGCUAUCUAGGGUUGAAAACGAAAACGAAAAUUUUCGAUUACCGGGAACCGUUUUCGAGAUUUUACCGAGAUUCUGGUGUAAACGAAAAUGAAAACGGCUACCGAAAAUACGGAAACGAAAAUGGUAAUUUUAUCCGA
Long non-coding RNA from Panicum virgatum (switchgrass), 2590 nucleotides. RefSeq lists it as uncharacterized. The transcript has 7 exons. NCBI's taxonomy places the organism in Eukaryota, Viridiplantae, Streptophyta, Magnoliopsida, Poales, Poaceae. The record is from RefSeq and is a predicted model, not a curated record.